UUGAGCAAGAACCGAAAAUUGUUUUUAAAGUCCAAUUCACCCCCCCUCUUGGACAUAUUUUGGGACAUCACAUUAGGAUUCAUUUGCUAAUUAAUUUUGCGUCUUCGAUAAUUAGAUGAGAUUAUAGUGAAUUGUAAGCUAAAUCAAUAUAAAAAAAUAGGUUGAAGGCCUCAUGGAAUGUUAUUUCCGUUAGGAAAUAAUGUGGUUGAACAAAAUUUUCCAUUCCAGGCUUGUAGAAAUUGUUCUAUCCUAUGCUGAGAAAGGAAUGGCAAUGCAGAUAUUUGUAACAUAGAAUUUAC
RNAcentral lists this unclassified non-coding RNA (299 nucleotides) under Hevea brasiliensis (rubber tree). Lineage: Eukaryota; Viridiplantae; Streptophyta; Magnoliopsida; Malpighiales; Euphorbiaceae. The record is from RNAcentral.